UCCAUGUUCCGUUAAUUGCUUUGUGCCAA
RNAcentral lists this non-coding RNA (29 nucleotides) under Mus musculus (house mouse). Lineage: Eukaryota; Metazoa; Chordata; Mammalia; Rodentia; Muridae. The record is from RNAcentral.